This 1290-nucleotide long non-coding RNA is filed under the name Homo sapiens (human). RNAcentral's name for it is "non-protein coding lnc-PFKFB3-453:5". Lineage: Eukaryota; Metazoa; Chordata; Mammalia; Primates; Hominidae. The record is from RNAcentral.
GAACUUCACAUAUGAAGCCCCUCUCAUGUGUCAGGCACGGCGUCAGAUGCUGGACGGCAAGAAGGUGGCCUUCUGCAAAUGGGGAUGAGUCCUCACCAGGUGUGGGAUCUGCCAGCACCUCGAUCUUGGGCUUCCCAGCCUCAGUACUGUAAGAAGUAAGUGUCUGUUGUUUAAGCCACCCCAUGUAAUAUAAUUUUGUUAUAGCAGCCUACAUUGAUUAAGACAGAUGCUAAGAAUAUGAAGGUGAAGAAAUGUCCCAGUACUUCAUGGGAACACAUCCCAGUGGCUUACAGAAUCAAAGAUGAAAGAGAGAGGGAUACACGUGGUUGCUGGCUCUUCCCUGCUGCUCAGAUGCCUGGAUCACUUGACUGCCUUCUCUAUCAAAGGUUGAUGUUUGCUUUCGCUUUGUUAGAAACACGAAUGAUUGGCUGGAUGCAGUGGCUAAUGCCUGUAAUCCCAGCACUUUGGGCAGUUGAGGCGGGUGGAUCACUUGAGGUCAGGAGUUCGAGACCAGCGUGGCCAACAUGGUGAAACCCCAUCUCUACUAAAAAUACAAAAAUUAGCCAGGUGUGGUGGUGUGCACCUGUAACCCCAGCUACUGAGGAGGCUGAGUUAGGAGAAUUGCUUGAGCCCGGGAGGCAGUGGUUGUGGUGAGCCGAGAUCAAGCCACUGCACUCCAGCCUGGGUGACAGAGCGAGACUGCAUCUCAAAACAAAACAAAACAAAACAACCAAGAAACACAAAUGAUCAGGGCUUCAAUUCUGCAAUGCAACAAUCACUAACCAUUUGUAGAGAAUCCUAAUGGCUUUUACAUUUUCAGUGCCACUGUUCUCUUGCAAAUAAUAUGAUAUAACCAAUCAAUAUUUGGAAGGAACUCUGAGAUUGCUUUAAAAUUAUUGCAUGUUAAUAAUUAUGAACAUUUGGGUAAUGCUUUUUGACUUUACAAAAUGUCUUUAUAUAUAAGCACUGGUUCUCCACCAGGGGCAACUCCCUCCCCCAGGGGACAUUUGGCAAUGUUGGGAGACAUUUUUGGUUGUCCCAGCUGGGGAGAGUGUUACUGGCAUCUAGUGGGUAGAGGCCAGGGAGGCUGCUAAACAUCCGACAAUGCACAGGACAGCCUCUGACAACAAACUAUUAUCCCGUCUAAAUGUCGAUAAUGUUGAGGUUGAGAAACUCCCAUACGCAAGAUCUCUCGGAAAUGUUUGCAAUUUUUACAGUUAUUGCAUGUGUUAGAUAUUUUCACAAUUCUUUUACAAAUCAGGAUCCCGAGGGUCAAAGAUGAUGAGUUAC